This is a long non-coding RNA of Fukomys damarensis (Damara mole-rat), 294 nucleotides long. RefSeq lists it as uncharacterized. Lineage: Eukaryota; Metazoa; Chordata; Mammalia; Rodentia; Bathyergidae. The transcript has 4 exons. The record is from RefSeq and is a predicted model, not a curated record.
GGAAGAAAACUUUUCCUGGACAUCCUGUGCCCCACAUAGAACAGCCAUCUGGACCGUCACAGCCACAGCUGCCAGCCACAGCCCUCCACAAUUCCAUCACGGCCUAGAGACAACCGACAUACCAGAGAUACAGGUCCCAUUACCCCACUCAUCAAGUACCGUCGCCGUGUCAGGUCCUCCCUGAGAGUUGCAAGAGCUGGAGAACAGACACAAAAAUGGGGCGGUAACUGACCUGAAGGAUAUGCCCUACUACACCCUAACCCACCGGUAGUCCUUACCCUCAAGAUAGCCAAA